GGAUUUGGCUAUUGCUGGUCAUGUAAGUCGUUUUGGUCAUUAGUAAAUUAGAAUUGCAGUUCAUUUAGAUUCUGCUAAUUUAUGUAUUGUUUUUGGUUUAUCUAGUUGGAUUAAUUAGGAUUCUAAGGCCUCAUUUUAUCAGAUUGAUAGUGUUUGGCAUGAGAGUGAAUUUUGGUCACGGAGAGAGCAGGAAAAUGAAAGAGAGGGGGAGGGAGGUUAAUGAUUGAAUUGUGCCAUUUCUGUUACUUCAAUGUUAUUUUCUGUAUGUAUCUGCUGAGAUAUAGUAGCCUCAUAAUGGUUUCCAUUGUUCUUCCUUUCAAUGUCUUCCCCAUCUCCCCUCUCCUUUUUUU
This 350-nucleotide unclassified non-coding RNA is filed under the name Hevea brasiliensis (rubber tree). Lineage: Eukaryota; Viridiplantae; Streptophyta; Magnoliopsida; Malpighiales; Euphorbiaceae. The record is from RNAcentral.